AUCGCUUCUCAGCCUUUUGGCUAAGAUCAAGUGUAAUAAUAAAUACAGCAGUUAAACUCCAGGUAAUCCAUCAUUGGGCUCGUAUUUAACAGCUAAAGAAGCAAUUUCAAAUUUGAAGGCUACUCCAAUACUGCCUUUCAAAUUGAGGAUUC
RNAcentral lists this small nuclear RNA (152 nucleotides) under Zalophus californianus (California sea lion). RNAcentral describes it as "U2 spliceosomal RNA (ENSZCAG00015001174.1)". It matches the Rfam family "U2 spliceosomal RNA". Rfam says of the family: U2 is a small nuclear RNA (snRNA) component of the spliceosome (involved in pre-mRNA splicing). Lineage: Eukaryota; Metazoa; Chordata; Mammalia; Carnivora; Otariidae. The record is from RNAcentral.